This is a non-coding RNA of Prevotella sp. CAG:1320, 398 nucleotides long. It matches the Rfam family "transfer-messenger RNA". From Rfam's summary of the family: Bacterial tmRNA, also known as 10Sa RNA or SsrA, is named for its dual tRNA and mRNA-like properties. Its role is to liberate the mRNA from a stalled ribosome. To accomplish this part of the tmRNA is used as a reading frame that ends in a translation stop signal. Lineage: Bacteria; Pseudomonadati; Bacteroidota; Bacteroidia; Bacteroidales; Prevotellaceae. The record is from Rfam.
GGGGUUGACUGGAUUUGACGGCGAGAUGAAAUGGUAUGUAAGCAUGCGGAGCCUCGUUGGCUAGCUCCAUAAUCUGAGUGAACGAACUAUAAUUGGCGAAAGAAAUUACGCUCUCGCUGCCUAAGUUGAAGUAUAGUAGACUGGCUUAAUCCCGUCACAAGGUGAUGGGACGAGACAUCGCUCAAGGGAUGUUGUUCCGAAUCUUCUUGAUCAAGCGGUGCAGAUAAAUCGGAAAUAGUCAGGGUAUGCCCCGCUGCCUUGAUGAAAUUUAAGGGGAUAAGGUGUCGGUUGAUGGUCCGGGUUCUGCCGCCACACGAAAACCAAAGGCCGGAAUAAGCAUGUAGAAAGCGUAUGGUUUCCUUGUUCGGACGUGGGUUCGAAUCCCACCAGCUCCACUG